RNAcentral lists this ribosomal RNA (253 nucleotides) under uncultured bacterium. RNAcentral describes it as "partial 16S ribosomal RNA". It matches the Rfam family "Bacterial small subunit ribosomal RNA", at positions 524 to 776 of the family's 1533-position model. The record is from RNAcentral.
UACAGAGGUCCCGAGCGUUGUUCGGAUUCACUGGGCGUAAAGGGCACGCAGGCGGUGCGGCGCGUUUCGCGUGACAGCGGAGGGCUUAACUCUCCGAGGAUGCGAAAGACGGCGGCACUUGAGGGCCAGAGAGGGACACGGAAUUCCGGGUGGAGUGGUGAAAUGCGUAGAGAUCCGGAGGAACACCGAAGGCGAAGGCAGUGUCCUGGCUGGUGACUGACGCUGAGGUGCGAAAGCUAGGGGAGCGAACGGG